Molecule: long non-coding RNA, 600 nt
Organism: Fundulus heteroclitus (mummichog)
Lineage: Eukaryota; Metazoa; Chordata; Actinopteri; Cyprinodontiformes; Fundulidae
Exons: 3
Source: RefSeq, a predicted model, not a curated record
AGGAGCAUUUAUAUAGGGAGGGUUGAGGGAGGCAUAAUUCACCUUGAUGGCGGUACAAUGAUUGUGGACUUCACAGGGCGUGAGGCUACUGUCCCAAUUAUUACUGAAAAGGUGAAUCGUGACUUAAGGACAGAAGAAUCCAUUGUCCUCUGUGACAUGCAAGGCAACAGACUUCUGUAGGGCACUGGAUCAACAGGGCUUGGAUUUUGGCGGCAAAAUUCCAGGAAAAUUCUUGCCCUCUCUGACAACAUGUACCAAAAACUGCAAAGAAAGAAGAGGAAAAGGAAUAUUCAGAUUGUGGCUGGAGACAAAGCAGAAAAAGUGGAGGAGCUUGUGUUAGCAGCUGAGGAGCUGCCAGCGAUAUCUCAGACGCUGAGAGAACUGUCAGAAUAUGCCGCAGCCAACAAACGCUCAACCCUGGCCUUGACUGCUGCCCAAGCCAGUUCUGUACAGGACACAUUAAAAUGUGUUAUUUGUAGAGGUAUGUAGGAUAACAGUCAAAUAUAGUUUGAUGUAUAGACCCUUUCAUGGCCUGCAUAACUAUGACUUUGCAGCCUGAGCUGGAGGAUAAAACAGGAAAGCUUCCAGUGAAGACUGUAG